GUCCUAGCCGUAAACGAUGCAUACUAGAAGUAGGAGGGCUCAACCCUUUCUGUUUCGGAGCUAACGCGUUAAGUAUGCCACCUGGGGAGUACGCUCGCAAGGGUGAAACUCAAAAGAAUUGACGGGGGCCCGCACAAGCAGUGGAGCAUGUGGUUUAAUUCGAUGCAACGCGAAGAACCUUACCUGGGCUCGAAAUGUAGAGGACUAUGCAAGAGAUUGCAUAUCCCGAAAGGGUCUCUAUAUAGGUGCUGCAUGGCUGUCGU
RNAcentral lists this ribosomal RNA (263 nucleotides) under uncultured bacterium. RNAcentral's name for it is "partial 16S ribosomal RNA". It matches the Rfam family "Bacterial small subunit ribosomal RNA", at positions 793 to 1055 of the family's 1533-position model. The record is from RNAcentral.